This 129-nucleotide ribosomal RNA is filed under the name uncultured Alphaproteobacteria bacterium. RNAcentral describes it as "partial 16S ribosomal RNA". The record is from RNAcentral. Lineage: Bacteria; Pseudomonadati; Pseudomonadota; Alphaproteobacteria.
GGGUACCGUCAUUAUCGUCCCCGGUGAAAGAAUUUUACAAUCCUAAGACCUUCAUCAUUCACGCGGCAUGGCUGCGUCAGGCUUUCGCCCAUUGCGCAAGAUUCCCCACUGCUGCCUCCCGUAGGAGUA